This is a non-coding RNA of Pelobates cultripes (western spadefoot toad), 393 nucleotides long. The record is from the annotation of a GenBank genome assembly. NCBI's taxonomy places the organism in Eukaryota, Metazoa, Chordata, Amphibia, Anura, Pelobatidae.
GCACUUCUUUGCUCAACUUAUCCCGCGCUACCUCUGGGUGCUCCCGAACUGACUUGAGAUUACCACACAUCGUACCCGGUCCCCUAACCACGAAGGGAAUAACAAAUCCUUCCCUAAAUCCCUGCCACAAAAAGGCUGCAUCCGCCCUAUUAGCGUACUGCCUUAGCCAAGGUAACAUCACGUCUAUUUUCACUGGGGACGCCCCCAGCUGUAGCAGCGGGGGGCGCUGCCCCCACGGACCCCCCUCCCCCUCCAAGCUUACCUUUCUUGAAGCAUCGGCUGGCGCCAUGAGCCCCCCCGCAGCCGGAACACUCAUGUCGGAACCUGCAGGAAUUCCCCCACUUGCAGUGUCCCUCGUUGUACAUCCAGCAGAAGCCUUUCUUUUGCCCAGCC